Molecule: ribosomal RNA, 492 nt
Filed under: uncultured bacterium
Lineage: Bacteria
Description: partial 16S ribosomal RNA
Rfam family: Bacterial small subunit ribosomal RNA
Source: RNAcentral
AGUGAACGCUGGCGGUAGGCCUAACACAUGCAAGUCGAACGGCAGCACAGUAAGAGCUUGCUCUUACGGGUGGCGAGUGGCGGACGGGUGAGGAAUACAUCGGAAUCUACUUUUUCGUGGGGGAUAACGUAGGGAAACUUACGCUAAUACCGCAUACGACCUACGGGUGAAAGCAGUGGAUCUUCGGACCUUUCGCGAUUGAUUGAGCCGAUGUCGGAUUAGCUAGUUGGCGGGGUAAAGGCCCACCAAGGCGACGAUCCGUAGCUGGUCUGAGAGGAUGAUCAGCCACACUGGAACUGAGACACGGUCCAGACUCCUACGGGAGGCAGCAGUGGGGAAUAUUGGACAAUGGGCGCAAGCCUGAUCCAGCCAUACCGCGUGGGUGAAGAAGGCCUUCGGGUUGUAAAGCCCUUUUGUUGGGAAAGAAAAGCAGCAGGUUAAUACCCCGCUGUUCUGACGGUACCCAAAGAAUAAGCACCGGCUAACUUCGUG